This 266-nucleotide long non-coding RNA is filed under the name Homo sapiens (human). Its description in RNAcentral is "non-protein coding lnc-ZFY-2:1". The record is from RNAcentral. Lineage: Eukaryota; Metazoa; Chordata; Mammalia; Primates; Hominidae.
CUGUUUCAUUGUGAACUGGCUGAGCUUUCCAAGAUGUGGUUGAACUGAAGUGAAGAUAGAGAAUUUUCUUCUAUUUUUCCUCAUUUAAAUGAGCACAAUUUUAUUAGGUUACCAUUAUGAAUGAUGAUUGCUGUUGAUGUCUGAGAUCUGAUUUGUGAUGACCAUUAAAACCUUUUAAGUUUUUAUUUCAGCCAAGAAAUUUUGCUUGUUAAUGUUUCCUUGACUGUUGUUCCUUAUACUUUAAGUGAACUGACCUUCAAUCUUUC